RNAcentral lists this ribosomal RNA (468 nucleotides) under uncultured bacterium. Its description in RNAcentral is "partial 16S ribosomal RNA". It matches the Rfam family "Bacterial small subunit ribosomal RNA", at positions 28 to 507 of the family's 1533-position model. The record is from RNAcentral.
GACGAACGCUGGCGGCGUGCUUAACACAUGCAAGUCGAACGGAAAGGCCCUGCUUUUGUGGGGUGCUCGAGUGGCGAACGGGUGAGUAACACGUGAGUAACCUGCCCUUGACUUUGGGAUAACUUCAGGAAACUGGGGCUAAUACCGGAUAGGAGCUCCUGCUGCAUGGUGGGGGGUGGAAAGGUUCGGCGGUUGGGGAUGGACUCGCGGCUUAUCAGCUUGUUGGUGGGGUAGUGGCUUACCAAGGCGUUGACGGGUAGCCGGCCUGAGAGGGUGACCGGCCACAUUGGGACUGAGAUACGGCCCAGACUCCUACGGGAGGCAGCAGUGGGGAAUAUUGCACAAUGGGCGGAAGCCUGAUGCAGCAACGCCGCGUGCGGGAUGACGGCCUUCGGGUUGUAAACCGCUUUCGCCUGUGACGAAGCGUGAGUGACGGUAAUGGGUAAAGAAGCACCGGCUAACUACGUG